Molecule: ribosomal RNA, 606 nt
Filed under: Triticum aestivum (bread wheat)
Lineage: Eukaryota; Viridiplantae; Streptophyta; Magnoliopsida; Poales; Poaceae
Description: partial small subunit ribosomal RNA
Source: RNAcentral
GGUAAAAAAAGGAGUGUCAAAAUCGAUAGAAGGCAGGACUGCUCCCCGACGGUUGGCAAGCUUCAGGCUGUCGGUAAGCUUUUGUCGUAGAGGCCAACAAAAGGAGAGUAUGUGGGUAGAACUUUAGAAAAUUUAUGGUGCCCUUUUACUCUGCUUGAGUGCAAAGAUCUUGUUAGAAAUCACUUUCUAUCCACUUUCCAUGAUGAGAGUAGCAAGAAGAAAGCUCUGGAUAGUGGGCCGUGGAGUUUCAACAAGGAUCUGAUAAUUGAAAAAUGUGUGUCCAGUAAAACAAUUGAUGACUAUGAAUUUAAUUUUAUUCCAAUCUGGGUCAGAGUUUAUGGUAUUUCCAUGAGCAUGAUGAGUUCCCAAACAGGAGAAUUGAUUGGGAAGAAUAUUGCAGAAGUACUUGACAUUGACCUUGAUCAUGAUGGAACUGUGAUGGGCGAAUUUAUGAGAAUUAAGAUACGGGGAAUAACAAGAUUUAUUACUUUAGAAAUUGAAAAUGACGAGGAAGAACAAGAGGACAUGUACGAGGAGUUGACAGGUGCUGAUGCGGAGGAAAAAAAUAAAGGGGAGAAAGAGAGGAAGAUUAUUUAUUUCAAAUAA